UAGUCCACGCCGUAAACGAUGAGAACUAGCCGUCGGGGCCCUUGAGGCUUUGGUGGCGCAGCUAACGCGAUAAGUUCUCCGCCUGGGGAGUACGGCCGCAAGGCUAAAACUCAAAUGAAUUGACGGGGGCCCGCACAAGCGGUGGAGCAUGUUGUUUAAUUCGAUGCAACGCGAAGAACCUUACCACCCCUUGACAUCCUCAGAACUUGUUAGAAAUAACUUGGUGCCUUCGGGAGCUGAGUGACAGGUGCUGCAUGGCUGUCGUCAGCUCGUGUCGUGAGAUGUUGGGUUAAGUCCCGUAACGAGCGCAACCCGCGUAUUUAGUUGCCAUCAUUCAGUUGGGCACUCUAGAUAGACUACCGGGGACAACUCGGAGGAAGGUGUGGAUGACGUCAAGUCAGCAUGCCCCUUACAUCCUGGGCUACACGCGUACUACAAUGCUAUGGACAAAGAGCUGCAAGCCAGCGAUGGCAAGCUAAUCUCAUAAACCAUGG
RNAcentral lists this ribosomal RNA (494 nucleotides) under uncultured bacterium. RNAcentral's name for it is "bacterial SSU rRNA". It matches the Rfam family "Bacterial small subunit ribosomal RNA", at positions 791 to 1286 of the family's 1533-position model. The record is from RNAcentral.